Molecule: ribosomal RNA, 495 nt
Filed under: Geotrichum candidum
Lineage: Eukaryota; Fungi; Ascomycota; Dipodascomycetes; Dipodascales; Dipodascaceae
Description: partial large subunit ribosomal RNA
Source: RNAcentral
AUCGNCCCCCAGGNCGAGUUGUAAUUUGUAGAUUGUAUCUUGAGAGCGGAUUAAAGUCUGUUGGAACACAGCGCCUUAGAGGGUGACAGCCCCGUAAAAUCUAUUCUCAUUGUAAGAUACUUUCGAAGAGUCGAGUUGUUUGGGAAUGCAGCUCUAAGUGGGAGGUAAAUUCCUUCUAAAGCUAAAUAUUGACGAGAGACCGAUAGCGAACAAGUACUGUGAAGGAAAGAUGAAAAGCACUUUGAAAAGAGAGUGAAAAAGUACGUGAAAUUGUUAAAAGGGAAGGGUAUUGAAUCAGACUUGGUGCUGUUGUUCAACYRUGUUUYGGCANGGUGUACUCAGCAGUACUAGGCCAAGGUGGGGUGUUUGGGAGUGAAAAAGAAGUWGGAACGUAACUCUUCGGAGUGUUAUAGCCUACUUUCAUAGCUCCUCAGGCGCCUCAGGACUGCGCUUCGGCAAGGACCUUGGCAUAAUGAUUCUAUACCGCCCGUCUUG